CCUACGGGGGGCAGCAGUGGGGAAUAUUGGACAAUGGGGGGAACCCUGAUCCAGCCAUGCCGCGUGUGUGAAGAAGGCCCUCGGGUUGUAAAGCACUUUCAGUGAGGAAGAACGCCUGGUGGUUAAUACCCAUCAGGAAAGACAUCACUCACAGAAGAAGCACCGGCUAACUCCGUGCCAGCAGCCGCGGUAAUACGGAGGGUGCGAGCGUUAAUCGGAAUUACUGGGCGUAAAGCGCGCGUAGGUGGCUUGAUAAGCUGGUUGUGAAAGCCCCGGGCUCAACCUGGGAACGGCAUCCGGAACUGUCAAGCUAGAGUGCAGGAGAGGAAGGUAGAAUUCCCGGUGUAGCGGUGAAAUGCGUAGAGAUCGGGAGGAAUACCAGUGGCGAAGGCGGCCUUCUGGACUGACACUGACACUGAGGUGCGAAAGCGUGGGUAGCAAACAGGAUUAGAUACCCUUGUAGUC
This 465-nucleotide ribosomal RNA is filed under the name Vreelandella stevensii. Its description in RNAcentral is "partial 16S ribosomal RNA". It matches the Rfam family "Bacterial small subunit ribosomal RNA", at positions 338 to 795 of the family's 1533-position model. Lineage: Bacteria; Pseudomonadati; Pseudomonadota; Gammaproteobacteria; Oceanospirillales; Halomonadaceae. The record is from RNAcentral.